Molecule: transfer RNA, 73 nt
Filed under: Percilia gillissi
Lineage: Eukaryota; Metazoa; Chordata; Actinopteri; Centrarchiformes; Percichthyidae
Description: tRNA-Gly
Rfam family: tRNA
About the family: Transfer RNA (tRNA) molecules are approximately 80 nucleotides in length. Their secondary structure includes four short double-helical elements and three loops (D, anti-codon, and T loops).
Source: RNAcentral
AUCUUUCUAGUAUUAAGUUCUAGUAUAAGUGACUUCCAAUCACCCGGUCUUGGUUAAAAUCCAAGGAAAGAUA